This 253-nucleotide ribosomal RNA is filed under the name uncultured bacterium. RNAcentral describes it as "partial 16S ribosomal RNA". It matches the Rfam family "Bacterial small subunit ribosomal RNA", at positions 524 to 776 of the family's 1533-position model. The record is from RNAcentral.
UACGUAGGGGGCAAGCGUUGUCCGGAUUUAUUGGGCGUAAAGAGCGUGUAGGCGGCCAGACAGGUCCGUUGUGAAAACUCGAGGCUUAACCUCGAGAUGUCGAUGGAAACCGUCUGGCUAGAGUCCGGAAGAGGAGUGUGGAAUUCCUGGUGUAGCGGUGAAAUGCGCAGAUAUCAGGAAGAACACCUAUGGCGAAGGCGGCUCUCUGGGACGGUACUGACGCUGAGACGCGAAAGCGUGGGGAGCGAACAGG